This 574-nucleotide ribosomal RNA is filed under the name uncultured bacterium. RNAcentral describes it as "partial 16S ribosomal RNA". It matches the Rfam family "Bacterial small subunit ribosomal RNA", at positions 355 to 922 of the family's 1533-position model. The record is from RNAcentral.
UGGGGAAUUUUGGACAAUUGGGCGAAAGCCUGAUCCAGCAAUGCCGCGUGUGUGAAGAAGGCCUUCGGGUUGUAAAGCACUUUUGUCCGGAAAGAAAUCCUUGGCUCUAAUACAGUCGGGGGAUGACGGUACCGGAAGAAUAAGCACCGGCUAACUACGUGCCAGCAGCCGCGGUAAUACGUAGGGUGCAAGCGUUAAUCGGAAUUACUGGGCGUAAAGCGUGCGCAGGCGGUUUGCUAAGACCGAUGUGAAAUCCCCGGGCUCAACCUGGGAACUGCAUUGGUGACUGGCAGGCUAGAGUAUGGCAGAGGGGGGUAGAAUUCCACGUGUAGCAGUGAAAUGCGUAGAGAUGUGGAGGAAUACCGAUGGCGAAGGCAGCCCCCUGGGCAAUACUGACGCUCAUGCACGAAAGCGUGGGGAGCAAACAGGAUUAGAUACCCUGGUAGUCCACGCCCUAAACGAUGUCAACUAGUUGUUGGGGAUUCAUUUCCUUAGUAACGUAGCUAACGCGUGAAGUUGACCGCCUGGGGAGUACGGUCGCAAGAUUAAAACUCAAAGGAAUUGACGGGGUCAU